This 352-nucleotide unclassified non-coding RNA is filed under the name soil metagenome. Its description in RNAcentral is "partial contains 5.8S ribosomal RNA, internal transcribed spacer 2, and large subunit ribosomal RNA". The stretch from base 1 to 120 matches the Rfam family "5.8S ribosomal RNA", at positions 35 to 154 of the family's 154-position model. The record is from RNAcentral.
GAUGAAGAACGCAGCGAAAUGCGAUAAGUAAUGCGAAUUGCAGAAUUCAGUGAAUCAUCGAAUCUUUGAACGCACAUUGCGCCCGCCAGUAUUCUGGCGGGCAUGCCUGUUCGAGCGUCAUUACAACCCUCAGGCCCCCGGGCCUGGCGUUGGGGAUCGGCAGAAGCCCCCUGUGGGCACACGCCGUCCCUCAAAUACAGUGGCGGUCCCGCCGCAGCUUCCAUUGCGUAGUAGCUAACACCUCGCAACUGGAGAGCGGCGCGGCCAUGCCGUAAAACACCCAACUUCUGAAUGUUGACCUCGAAUCAGGUAGGAAUACCCGCUGAACUUAAGCAUAUCAAUAAGCGGAGGA